This is a non-coding RNA of Pelobates cultripes (western spadefoot toad), 304 nucleotides long. The record is from the annotation of a GenBank genome assembly. NCBI's taxonomy places the organism in Eukaryota, Metazoa, Chordata, Amphibia, Anura, Pelobatidae.
CCCAAACACAUAGAUUCCUCCAAAAGUAAUUACAUGCUGAUGAUGACUGUGCUAGAAACAUUUUACUCUACAGAGCUUCUGCAAGGACAUAAUUCUUUACAUAUAAAUAUGAACAGCUCUGGAUUUUUGUAGCACUGAAAGUUUUAACCCUGUAUUAAUAAACCUCUCAAACUCUUGCAUGUUCUUCAUCCCACACACUAAAUGUUUCCACCUACCUAUAAUGUUUAAAAAUUAUUCUUCAUGUAUGGAAUUGGUUUUAUCAUUCUAAUCAAGAAGUCUGAAGUAAGAAGUAUAUUCAUCUUAG